Molecule: long non-coding RNA, 1820 nt
Organism: Lotus japonicus
Lineage: Eukaryota; Viridiplantae; Streptophyta; Magnoliopsida; Fabales; Fabaceae
Exons: 4
Source: RefSeq, a predicted model, not a curated record
UCGGUGAUGCUUAGAAGAACCGCGGCAACCGCCGCGAACUCAUCGGAGGAUAGUGUUCUUCCCUCUCCUCUGAACAUGCGCGCCUUCAUGCCGAAUUGCUCCGCCGUGGAAUCGUCGUAUCUAAAGCAGGGCAGCGAGCACAUAGUUAUGUUAUCAUGUAGUUGUAGACUUUAUUAUUUACUGCAAUGGAGAUUUGAUCUACUUGUAUUUUUGUACAGAUUGAAAAUGAUUAAGGAUCUAUGGAGUCUGAAAUUGGUGUUCCUGGUUAAACCUUUCCCAAGUGGGCAACAGAUAUAGCUCUACGACUUGGGGUUGGGGUUCCAUUCAAUUGUGCAAGCAAGAUGAUACUCCUGAUACUGUUCGCUGGAGGAGGAGGGAUCGUGGGAGGUGGUGAUUCCACGGCAUAUAUGAGCGCACAUGGAAGGGGUAGAGGAGGGGAGAUUGAGAGAGAUGUGUCUUCCAUUCCAUGGCAGCAUCUUUGGAGUCUUGAGGUCCAAGGAUUUUGUUCUUGUCAUUUUCUAUUUUCCUUUCAUGUAUGUACUCAAGUUGAAAGCUCCUGGGUCAUUUUCACUCGCUUGGCCCAAUUUUCUUAUGUGUAUUUGAUUUUUAUUAUAUGAAAACUCAGUUCAAUUAGUUCUGGUUUUGUGAGAAACGACUAUAAUGACUUAUAUCUAUCUUAUCCCUGCAUUGGCUGGUUGCUUGGGUUUGUAUAUAUUAGUUUGCUUUCUGAAGGGUAAUCCUUUAACAUAAAUGGAAAGACAAACUGUGUGAACUUCGUCAAAGAGUUAAGUGGGAUAUGAACUUCAAAAUUAAGAUGUAACAUAUUUCCUUUACACCACAUACUCUAUUAUUCAUACUCCAUUCAAUUAUUUCUUUUGUGAUUAAUCUCAAGUAGUAAUUGACCUAUGAAGAAAUUAAAAUUCAUUCAGGGAUUUUAUCUUACAACAAUUUUACGAAGUCUUCUGCAUCUAGCUUCUAGCUCUUGGAUCUGUAUGGUUCUCUUUGUCUAGCAUUAUUUAAGCAUUUCACAUAUGUCGAUAGUUACUUACUCUACUAAACUGAGCAUGAAUUUGGCUUCAAGCCAUUCUUCUUCAAUGGUUACUCCACCUUCGUAAGUUCUUUGCUUAUUUUUCUAUUGUCUUAUCAAUCUUGACUCGUAUGCUGAAACUCCUUAUUGUUCAUCUUAUAAAACUUUUUGUUUGAAGAUAAACUUACCUUCUGUUGUAAAACCCCAGUACGUAUGAUUGUUGAUAUUUAGAAAGUUGAAGCUGAUUCAAGAUAGUGAAGGAGAUUUUUGGCCAGUAUACAAGCUUCCAUUAGCAUAAAUGGUGUUUAUUCCAAGUCACUCAUGUAUCACAAGUGGAGAGAACAUUGGAUCCUUUAUUUAUUUUCUUCUAAGAGAGAAAAAUGUUUGAUAGUAUUUUCAGGAAAACUAGUAGAGUAUGAUGAGCCAAUGAACCUGAUGAAGAGAGAAUGUUUGUUGCUUGGGAAGCUUGUCAAAGAAUACUGGUCUCAUUUUCAGUCUGCAGAAUCUCAUUGAAGCUGAAUGCCUUUCUAGCUCUUCUGUCUUUUUCUGUGGGAUUGGUAAGAAGCCAAGAAAUUGUAAAUAAAAGUAGGGUGUAAGAUGUAUUAUAUUUGGACAAAUUCCAAGGCCAGGUAGGAAAAGGAUUAGAGGGACUUAGAUGUGAAUGGUGCAGAUGGAUUCAAAAGAAACAUUUCUAGGAAAACUCAUUAUCUCAUUCUGGACGAGGUGUAUAAACAGUUUCAGUUUGGAAAACAACAUUAUUUAGAAAUGUACUUGAGAUACAUGAUUUUGUUGA